GGUUAAGCGACUAAGCGUACACGGUGGAUGCCCUGGCAGUCAGAGGCGAUGAAGGACGUGCUAAUCUGCGAUAAGCGUCGGUAAGGUGAUAUGAACCGUUAUAACCGGCGAUUUCCGAAUGGGGAAACCCAGUGUGUUUCGACACACUAUCAUUAACUGAAUCCAUAGGUUAAUGAGGCGAACCGGGGGAACUGAAACAUCUAAGUACCCCGAGGAAAAGAAAUCAACCGAGAUUCCCCCAGUAGCGGCGAGCGAACGGGGAGCAGCCCAGAGCCUGAAUCAGUGUGUGUGUUAGUGGAAGCGUCUGGAAAGGCGCGCGAUACAGGGUGACAGCCCCGUACACAAAAAUGCACAUGCUGUGAGCUCGAUGAGUAGGGCGGGACACGUGGUAUCCUGUCUGAAUAUGGGGGGACCAUCCUCCAAGGCUAAAUACUCCUGACUGACCGAUAGUGAACCAGUACCGUGAGGGAAAGGCGAAAAGAACCCCGGCGAGGGGAGUGAAAAAGAACCUGAAACCGUGUACGUACAAGCAGUGGGAGCACGCUUAGGCGUGUGACUGCGUACCUUUUGUAUAAUGGGUCAGCGACUUAUAUUCUGUAGCAAGGUUAACCGAAUAGGGGAGCCGAAGGGAAACCGAGUCUUAACUGGGCGUUAAGUUGCAGGGUAUAGACCCGAAACCCGGUGAUCUAGCCAUGGGCAGGUUGAAGGUUGGGUAACACUAACUGGAGGACCGAACCGACUAAUGUUGAAAAAUUAGCGGAUGACUUGUGGCUGGGGGUGAAAGGCCAAUCAAACCGGGAGAUAGCUGGUUCUCCCCGAAAGCUAUUUAGGUAGCGCCUCGUGAAUUCAUCUCCGGGGGUAGAGCACUGUUUCGGCAAGGGGGUCAUCCCGACUUACCAACCCGAUGCAAACUGCGAAUACCGGAGAAUGUUAUCACGGGAGACACACGGCGGGUGCUAACGUCCGUCGUGAAGAGGGAAACAACCCAGACCGCCAGCUAAGGUCCCAAAGUCAUGGUUAAGUGGGAAACGAUGUGGGAAGGCCCAGACAGCCAGGAUGUUGGCUUAGAAGCAGCCAUCAUUUAAAGAAAGCGUAAUAGCUCACUGGUCGAGUCGGCCUGCGCGGAAGAUGUAACGGGGCUAAACCAUGCACCGAAGCUGCGGCAGCGACGCUUAUGCGUUGUUGGGUAGGGGAGCGUUCUGUAAGCCUGUGAAGGUGUGCUGUGAGGCAUGCUGGAGGUAUCAGAAGUGCGAAUGCUGACAUAAGUAACGAUAAAGCGGGUGAAAAGCCCGCUCGCCGGAAGACCAAGGGUUCCUGUCCAACGUUAAUCGGGGCAGGGUGAGUCGACCCCUAAGGCGAGGCCGAAAGGCGUAGUCGAUGGGAAACAGGUUAAUAUUCCUGUACUUGGUGUUACUGCGAAGGGGGGACGGAGAAGGCUAUGUUGGCCGGGCGACGGUUGUCCCGGUUUAAGCGUGUAGGCUGGUUUUCCAGGCAAAUCCGGAAAAUCAAGGCUGAGGCGUGAUGACGAGGCACUACGGUGCUGAAGCAACAAAUGCCCUGCUUCCAGGAAAAGCCUCUAAGCAUCAGGUAACAUCAAAUCGUACCCCAAACCGACACAGGUGGUCAGGUAGAGAAUACCAAGGCGCUUGAGAGAACUCGGGUGAAGGAACUAGGCAAAAUGGUGCCGUAACUUCGGGAGAAGGCACGCUGAUAUGUAGGUGAAGCGACUUGCUCGUGGAGCUGAAAUCAGUCGAAGAUACCAGCUGGCUGCAACUGUUUAUUAAAAACACAGCACUGUGCAAACACGAAAGUGGACGUAUACGGUGUGACGCCUGCCCGGUGCCGGAAGGUUAAUUGAUGGGGU
Molecule: ribosomal RNA, 1864 nt
Filed under: Escherichia coli
Lineage: Bacteria; Pseudomonadati; Pseudomonadota; Gammaproteobacteria; Enterobacterales; Enterobacteriaceae
Description: partial 23S ribosomal RNA
Rfam family: Bacterial large subunit ribosomal RNA
Source: RNAcentral